GUUACUGGCACGUCUCUAAGAGCCGGAGCUUGUUUAGCUCCAUCUCAGUGGUCUCUGUUUUUGGAGAUGGGCAUUAAGCAUGGCAGGGCUUCCAUAUUCCAUUGGUACAAGAAGGGAAAAGAAGAGAUGGGCAGCUACGCAUGAAGAGGGCUGUUUCAGAGAUUGGCCUUUUCAAUAGACUAUCAAUGUCUGGAAGGCAUUUGGAGAUGGAAGACUGGAGGUCAGAAGAAACACUGGGGCAGGAAAAGCAGAUUCAAGAAACAUUCAGCAUAGACAUUAAUAAUUAAAUCCAUAGUAGCUGAUAAGAUAACUAAGUGAAGCCAUAUCUUUUUAGUGACUGCCUGAAAGCCAUUGGAAACAUCUUUUACUCCUCCAAGCUGUUGCCAACAUCUCUCAAAUAUGACCCUUUCACCCCCCCCCCCCCCCGACAGUCACCUUUUUAGGGUAGGCCCUCAUUCCCUCACGUUUUGAUUACCGAAAUAACCUACUGGUCUCCAAUUCCCCCCCAACUCCAAUCAAAGUGAUUUUCCUAACGAACAGAUCCAAUCCUGUCAUUCCCCCUACUCAAUAAAGGCCAGUGGCUUCCUCUUGCUUCUAGGGGCAAAUACAAAA
Non-coding RNA from Monodelphis domestica (gray short-tailed opossum), 612 nucleotides. NCBI's taxonomy places the organism in Eukaryota, Metazoa, Chordata, Mammalia, Didelphimorphia, Didelphidae. The record is from RefSeq and is a predicted model, not a curated record.